UACAGAGGGUGCAAGCGUUGUUCGGAAUUACUGGGCGUAAAGCGCGUGUAGGCGGCUUGUUAAGUCAGAUGUGAAAUCCCUCGGCUCAACCGAGGAACUGCAUUUGAUACUGGCGAGCUUGAGUGUCGGAGGGGAUGGUAGAAUUCCUGGUGUAGAGGUGAAAUUCGUAGAUAUUCGGAAGAACACCAGUGGCGAAGGCGGCUACCUGGCUUGGUACUGACGCUCAGAUGCGAAAGCGUGGGGAGCAAACAGG
This 253-nucleotide ribosomal RNA is filed under the name uncultured bacterium. Its description in RNAcentral is "partial 16S ribosomal RNA". It matches the Rfam family "Bacterial small subunit ribosomal RNA", at positions 524 to 776 of the family's 1533-position model. The record is from RNAcentral.